This 379-nucleotide ribosomal RNA is filed under the name uncultured eukaryote. RNAcentral describes it as "partial 18S ribosomal RNA". It matches the Rfam family "Eukaryotic small subunit ribosomal RNA", at positions 592 to 975 of the family's 1831-position model. The record is from RNAcentral.
CAAUAGCGUAUAUUUAAGUUGUUGCAGUUAAAAAGCUCGUAGUUGGAUUUCGGGUGGGACGCAGCGGUCUCGCAUUGCGUUUGUACUGCUGCAGCCCUCCUUCUUGCCGGGGGCGGCCUCUCGGACUUCACUGUCUGGGGGUCAGAAUCGGCGAUGUUACUUUGAGUAAAUUAGAGUGUUCAAAGCAGGCCUUUGCCAUUGUAUGUGUUAGCAUGGGAUAAUGGAAUAGGACUUUGGUGCUAUUUUGUUGGUUUCGAACACCGAGGUAAUGAUUAAUAGGGACAGUCAGGGGCACUCGUAUUCCGUAGAGAGAGGUGAAAUUCUUAGACCCACGGAAGACGAACUACUGCGAANGNAUUUGCNAGGGAUGUUUNCACUG